This 402-nucleotide ribosomal RNA is filed under the name bacterium. Its description in RNAcentral is "partial 16S ribosomal RNA". It matches the Rfam family "Bacterial small subunit ribosomal RNA", at positions 355 to 776 of the family's 1533-position model. The record is from RNAcentral.
UGGGGAAUUUUGCACAAUGGGGGAAACCCUGAUGCAGCGACGCCGCGUGAUUUAGAAGGCCUUCGGGUUGUAAAAAUCUUUUUUACGGGAUGAAAAUGACAGUACCGUAAGAAUAAGGUCCGGCUAAAUACGUGCCAGCAGCCGCGGUAAUACGUAUGGACCGAGCGUUGUCCGGAAUCAUUGGGCGUAAAGGGUACGUAGGCGGCCUAGUAAGUUAGAAGUGAAAUAAUAUAGCUCAACUAUAUAAAGCUUUUAAAACUGCUAGGCUUGAGAGAUGGAAGGGAAAGUGGAAUUCCUAGUGUAGCGGUGAAAUGCGCAGAUAUUAGGAAGAAUACCGGUGGCGAAGGCGACUUUCUGGUCAUCAUCUGACGCUGAAGUACGAAAGCGUGGGUAGCAAACAGG